RNAcentral lists this ribosomal RNA (429 nucleotides) under Bacteroidota bacterium. RNAcentral's name for it is "Bacteroidetes bacterium partial 16S ribosomal RNA". It matches the Rfam family "Bacterial small subunit ribosomal RNA", at positions 355 to 776 of the family's 1533-position model. Lineage: Bacteria; Pseudomonadati; Bacteroidota. The record is from RNAcentral.
UAGGGAAUCUUCCGCAAUGGACGCAAGUCUGACGGAGCAACGCCGCGUGAGUGAAGAAGGAUUUCGGUUCGUAAAACUCUGUUGUUAGAGAAGAACAGCGCAUAGAGUAACUGUUAUGCGUGUGACGGUAUCUAACCAGAAAGCCACGGCUAACUACGUGCCAGCAGCCGCGGUAAUACGUAGGUGGCAAGCGUUGUCCGGAUUUAUUGGGCGUAAAGCGAGCGCAGGCGGUCAAUUAAGUCUGAUGUGAAAGCCCCCGGCUCAACCGGGGAGGGUCAUUGGAAACUGGUUGACUUGAGUGCAGAAGAGGGGAGUGGAAUUCCAUGUGUAGCGGUGAAAUGCGUAGAUAUAUGGGGGAACACCAGUGGCAAAGGCGACUCUCGGGUCUGUAACUGACGCUGAGGCUCGAAAGCGUGGGUAGCAAACAGG